CCUUUGACGUUAGCGGCGGACGGGUGAGUAACACGUGGGUAACCUACCUAUAAGACUGGGAUAACUUCGGGAAACCGGAGCUAAUACCGGAUAAUAUUUCGAACCGCAUGGUUCGAUAGUGAAAGAUGGUUUUGCUAUCACUUAUAGAUGGACCCGCGCCGUAUUAGCUAGUUGGUAAGGUAACGGCUUACCAAGGCGGCGAUACGUAGCCGACCUGAGAGGGUGAUCGGCCACACUGGAACUGAGACACGGUCCAGACUCCUACGGGAGGCAGCAGGU
This 279-nucleotide ribosomal RNA is filed under the name uncultured Staphylococcus sp. RNAcentral's name for it is "partial 16S ribosomal RNA". It matches the Rfam family "Bacterial small subunit ribosomal RNA", at positions 83 to 354 of the family's 1533-position model. Lineage: Bacteria; Bacillati; Bacillota; Bacilli; Caryophanales; Staphylococcaceae. The record is from RNAcentral.